This 400-nucleotide ribosomal RNA is filed under the name uncultured bacterium. RNAcentral describes it as "bacterial SSU rRNA". It matches the Rfam family "Bacterial small subunit ribosomal RNA", at positions 355 to 747 of the family's 1533-position model. The record is from RNAcentral.
UGGGGAAUUUUGGACAAUGGGCGCAAGCCUGAUCCAGCAAUGCCGCGUGCAGGAAGAAGGCCUUCGGGUUGUAAACUGCUUUUGUCAGGGAAGAAAUCUUCUGGGCUAAUACCCCGGGAGGAUGACGGUACCUGAAGAAUAAGCACCGGCUAACUACGUGCCAGCAGCCGCGGUAAUACGUAGGGUGCGAGCGUUAAUCGGAAUUACUGGGCGUAAAGCGUGCGCAGGCGGUUUGAUAAGCCAGAUGUGAAAUCCCCGAGCUCAACUUGGGAACUGCGUUUGGAACUGUCAGACUAGAGUGCGUCAGAGGGGGGUGGAAUUCCGCGUGUAGCAGUGAAAUGCGUAGAGAUGUGGAGGAACACCGAUGGCGAAGGCAGCCCCCUGGGCCUGUACUGACGCU